UGCCUAAUACAUGCAAGUCGAGCGGACCGACGGGAGCUUGCUCCCUUAGGUCAGCGGCGGACGGGUGAGUAACACGUGGGUAACCUGCCUGUAAGACUGGGAUAACUCCGGGAAACCGGGGCUAAUACCGGAUGCUUGAUUGAACCGCAUGGUUCAAUCAUAAAAGGCGGCUUCGGCUGCCGUUUACAGAUGGACCCGCGGCGCAUUAGCUAGUUGGUGAGGUAACGGCUCACCAAGGCGACGAUGCGUAGCCGACCUGAGAGGGUGAUCGGCCACACUGGGACUGAGACACGGCCCAGACUCCUACGGGAGGCAGCAGUAGGGAAUCUUCCGCAAUGGACGAAAGUCUGACGGAGCAACGCCGCGUGAGUGAUGAAGGUUUUCGGAUCGUAAAGCUCUGUUGUUAGGGAAGAACAAGUACCGUUCGAAUAGGGCGGUACCUUGACGGUACCUAACCAGAAAGCCACGGCUAACUACGUGCCAGCAGCCGCGGUAAUACGUAGGUGGCAAGCGUUGUCCGGAAUUAUUGGGCGUAAAGCGCGCGCAGGCGGUUUCUUAAGUCUGAUGUGAAAGCCCCCGGCUCAACCGGGGAGGGUCAUUGGAAACUGGGGAACUUGAGUGCAGAAGAGGAGAGUGGAAUUCCACGUGUAGCGGUGAAAUGCGUAGAGAUGUGGAGGAACACCAGUGGCGAAGGCGACUCUCUGGUCUGUAACUGACGCUGAGGCGCGAAAGCGUGGGGAGCGAACAGGAUUAGAUACCCUGGUAGUCCACGCCGUAAACGAUGAGUGCUAAGUGUUAGAGGGUUUCCGCCCUUUAGUGCUGCAGCAAACGCAUUAAGCACUCCGCCUGGGGAGUACGGUCGCAAGACUGAAACUCAGAGGAAUUGACGGGGGCCCGCACAAGCGGUGGAGCAUGUGGUUUAAUUCGAAGCAACGCGAAGAACCUUACCAGGUCUUGACAUCCUCUGACAUCCCUAGAGAUAGGGCUUCCCCUUCGGGGGCAAAGUGACAGGUGGUGCAUGGGUGUCGUCAGCCCUGUCCUGAGAUGUUGGGUAAGUCCCCAACCAGCCCCACCCUUGACUUAUUUGCCGGCUUCCGUGGGGACUUGAGGGUGACUCCCGGGAACAACCGGAGGAAGGGGGGGA
RNAcentral lists this ribosomal RNA (1144 nucleotides) under Bacillus licheniformis. RNAcentral's name for it is "bacterial SSU rRNA". It matches the Rfam family "Bacterial small subunit ribosomal RNA", at positions 45 to 1179 of the family's 1533-position model. The record is from RNAcentral. Lineage: Bacteria; Bacillati; Bacillota; Bacilli; Caryophanales; Bacillaceae.